RNAcentral lists this unclassified non-coding RNA (147 nucleotides) under soil metagenome. RNAcentral's name for it is "partial internal transcribed spacer 1". The record is from RNAcentral.
CCGAGUUUACAACUCCCAAACCCCUGUGAACAUACCACUUUGUUGCCUCGGCGGAUCAGCCCGCUCCCGGUAAAACGGGACGGCCCGCCAGAGGACCCUAAACUCUGUUUCUUAUGUAACUUCUGAGUAGAAACCAUAAAUAAAUCA